RNAcentral lists this ribosomal RNA (253 nucleotides) under uncultured bacterium. RNAcentral's name for it is "partial 16S ribosomal RNA". It matches the Rfam family "Bacterial small subunit ribosomal RNA", at positions 524 to 776 of the family's 1533-position model. The record is from RNAcentral.
GACGAACCGAGCGAACGUUAUUCGGAAUCACUGGGCUUAAAGGGCGCGUAGGCGGGCCGUCAAGUCGAGGGUGAAAGCCCCCAGCUCAACUGGGGAAGUGCCUCCGAUACUGGCGGCCUCGAGGGGGAUAGGGGCGUGCGGAACUUCCGGUGGAGCGGUGAAAUGCGUAGAUAUCGGAAGGAACACCGGUGGCGAAAGCGGCGCGCUGGAUCCCUUCUGACGCUGAGGCGCGAAAGCCAGGGGAGCAAACGGG